GAUGAACGCUGGCGGCGUGCCUAAUACAUGCAAGUCGAGCGAACAGACGAGAAGCUUGCUCCUCUGACGUUAGCGGCGGACGGGUGAGUAACACGUGGAUAACCUACCUAUAAGACUGGGAUAACUUCGGGAAACCGGAGCUAAUACCGGAUAAUAUUUUGAACCGCAUGGUUCAAUAGUGAAAGACGGUUUUGCUGUCACUUAUAGAUGGAUCCGCGCUGCAUUAGCUAGUUGGUAAGGUAACGGCUUACCAAGGCAACGAUGCGUAGCCGACCUGAGAGGGGAAUCGGCCAAACGGGAACUGAGACACGUCCCAGAUCCUUAGGGGAGGAAGCGUUGGGAAAUCUUCCGCAAGGGGCGAAAGCCGGACGAAGCAACGCCGCGGGGGUGAGGAAGGCUUUCGGAUCGUAAAACUUUUUUAUUGGGAAAAAACAAAGGUGUAAGAAACGAUGCACUUCUGGACGUAACCAAAGCAGAAGGCCAGGCUAAAUUACUG
Molecule: ribosomal RNA, 496 nt
Filed under: uncultured bacterium
Lineage: Bacteria
Description: partial 16S ribosomal RNA
Rfam family: Bacterial small subunit ribosomal RNA
Source: RNAcentral